Long non-coding RNA from Oncorhynchus tshawytscha (Chinook salmon), 1395 nucleotides. The record is from Ensembl. Lineage: Eukaryota; Metazoa; Chordata; Actinopteri; Salmoniformes; Salmonidae.
GGGAGAGAAGGGAUUGUAGUGUGGGUAGGGGAGAGAAGGGAUUGUAGUGUGGGUAGGGGAGAGAAGGGAUUGUAGUGUGGGUAGGGGAGAGAAGGGAUUGUAGUAUGGGUAGGGGAGAGAAGGGAUUGUAGUAUGGGUAGGGUGGAGAAGGGAUUGUAGUAUGGGUAGGGGAGAGAAGGGAUUGUAGUAUGGGUAGGGUAGAGAAGGGAUUGUAGUAUGGGUAGGGGAGAGAGUGGGUAGAAGUGUGGAUAGUAUGUUGUUGGCUAUUUGAAGGUCAUUGUUUUUUAUAUAAGCCCCAGGACUUUCAAUUUCCAUGGACACAUAGGAAACAUACCUACACAUUGAUGAAUGGACGGUUAGCAGCUGAAAUAUCAGAUACGAGAUGAGACAUCUCUAUGAAAUAGGAAACAUACCUACACAUUGAUGAAUGAACUGUUAGCAGCUGAAAUAUCAGAUACGAGAUGAGACAUUAUCUCUAUGAAAUAUCAAUGUGUCACAGUCUUAAACGCUCAUCUUUGAAAAAUCCAACCGUUUAAAAAAAAAAAGUCAUUUAGAUUCAACAGGUUGGCAAGGAGCAGCAACGUUUGUCAGACCUAAUCCUAGUGAGUAAAGAGGAGUUCAUGUUGACCCAUGUCAGUUGUCAUAGUGACCCGAGAUGUUAACCCGAACCCGGCUGUCCACUUGGCCUGAUUGCACUUUUAUUGAAGUGCACUUUAACAAACAUACAUUUUUUCUGAUGGCGGAGGAUCCCUGUGCUCAGAAUAUGGAUGCACGUAUGACUAAGUCGUUUGGAUAAAAGCGUAUGUGUAUUAUAAUAUUUAGCUUACUGAAAAGAGCGUUUAAAAAAUUAAAAAUUAGUUGCCACGGGAACCUGCUCGUCUCAAACGUCUAGAUCUUGAUUCGCUCACUUGAUUUACUCACUUCCCAACUGCAUUUGAUAACGUUAAAGUAGUUUUUAUUUGUAAUACUAUUGUGACUUGUUCAGUUUGGUGUAUCCACGGUGUAUCCACGCUCGCUGUUCUCUGGCUGGGAGUCCUGAUUAUAAUAUCCUUUGUACGAUUAUUGUUUUUCAGAAAGCAAUAGGAUGAUUUUUCUCCCCCAAAUAUUGUUGUUUAUAAGCGUUUUGUUUGAACGAGUGUUCUGAUUAGCGCAACAGCAUUUCAACCUUUUAAAUGUGACCCUCUAUCCACUCAUGUCUGGGUGUGUGUGACACCAGCAGUUAUAUUGUGCAUUUAUUUGCUUGAAAAACACGUUUUAUUCAGAGUAAUGUAAUUUUGACUAUGUACCCAUGAUUAUUCAGGGAGCUGAGAGGAAAAUUAUGACAGUUUCCACCUGAUGAAGAUUUUUGUAUAAUAUUGCUAAAUGCAAAUAAAUAAAACACUGGAUGAAACUUUG